CCUACGGGUGGCUGCAGUGGGGAAUAUUGGACAAUGGGCGAAAGCCUGAUCCAGCCAUGCCGCGUGUGUGAAGAAGGCCUUCGGGUUGUAAAGCACUUUCAGUGGGGAAGAAAGCCUUGGGGCUAAUACCCUCGAGGAAGGACAUCACCCACAGAAGAAGCACCGGCUAACUCCGUGCCAGCAGCCGCGGUAAUACGGAGGGUGCGAGCGUUAAUCGGAAUUACUGGGCGUAAAGCGCGCGUAGGCGGUCUGAUAAGCCGGUUGUGAAAGCCCCGGGCUCAACCUGGGAACGGCAUCCGGAACUGUCAGGCUAGAGUGCAGGAGAGGAAGGUAGAAUUCCCGGUGUAGCGGUGAAAUGCGUAGAGAUCGGGAGGAAUACCAGUGGCGAAGGCGGCCUUCUGGACUGACACUGACGCUGAGGUGCGAAAGCGUGGGUAGCAAACAGGAUUAGAUACCCGAGUAUUC
This 465-nucleotide ribosomal RNA is filed under the name Vreelandella stevensii. RNAcentral's name for it is "partial 16S ribosomal RNA". It matches the Rfam family "Bacterial small subunit ribosomal RNA", at positions 338 to 795 of the family's 1533-position model. The record is from RNAcentral. Lineage: Bacteria; Pseudomonadati; Pseudomonadota; Gammaproteobacteria; Oceanospirillales; Halomonadaceae.